Molecule: non-coding RNA, 23 nt
Filed under: Cricetulus griseus (Chinese hamster)
Lineage: Eukaryota; Metazoa; Chordata; Mammalia; Rodentia; Cricetidae
Source: RNAcentral
CCACUACACCAUCGGCAAGGAGA